Non-coding RNA from Pelobates cultripes (western spadefoot toad), 253 nucleotides. The record is from the annotation of a GenBank genome assembly. Lineage: Eukaryota; Metazoa; Chordata; Amphibia; Anura; Pelobatidae.
CUGCAGCCUCACUGCUCAAUCCUCUGCCAUUUAGGAGUUAAAUCCCUUUGUUUAUGAACCCUAGUCACACCUCCCUGCAUGUGACUUGCACAGCCUUCCACAAGCAAUUCCUGUAAAGAGAGCCCUAUUUAGGCUUUCUUUAUUGCAAGUUCUGUUUAAGAUUUUCUUAUCCCCUGCUAUGUUAAUAGCUUGCUAGACCCUGCAAGAGCCUCCUGUAUGUGAUUAAAGUUCAAUUUAGAGAUUGGGAUACAAU